AACGCACCUUGCGCCUCUUGGCUAUUCCGAGGGGCAUGCCUGUUUGAGUAUCAUGAACACCUCAACUCUCACGGUUUGCCCGUGAUGAGCUUGGACUUCUGGAGGCUUUGCUGGCCUAAGGCCGGCUCCUCUCAAAUAGAUCAGCUCACCAGUGUUUGGUGGCGCCAUGGGUGUGAUAACUAUCUACGCUUGUGGCCGUCUGCCAGGUAACCUUCAGCGAUGGAGGUUUGCUGGGGCUUACAAAUGUCUCUCCCCAGCGAAGACAGCUUUUUGAACGUUCGAUCUCAAAUCAGGUAGGACUACCCGCUGAACUUAA
Molecule: unclassified non-coding RNA, 316 nt
Filed under: uncultured Thelephoraceae
Lineage: Eukaryota; Fungi; Basidiomycota; Agaricomycetes; Thelephorales; Thelephoraceae
Description: sequence contains ITS2
Source: RNAcentral